RNAcentral lists this ribosomal RNA (460 nucleotides) under uncultured bacterium. RNAcentral describes it as "partial 16S ribosomal RNA". It matches the Rfam family "Bacterial small subunit ribosomal RNA", at positions 338 to 795 of the family's 1533-position model. The record is from RNAcentral.
CCUACGGGUGACAGCAGUGAGGAAUAUUGGUCAAUGGACGAGAGUCUGAACCAGCCAAGUAGCGUGAAGGAUGACUGCCCUAUGGGUUGUAAACUUCUUUUAUAUGGGAAUAAAAUGUUCCACGUGUGGGAUUUUGUAUGUACCAUAUGAAUAAGGAUCGGCUAACUCCGUGCCAGCAGCCGCGGUAAUACGGAGGAUCCGAGUGUUGUACGGAUUUAUUGGGUUUAAAGGGAGCGUAGGUGGAUUGUUAAGUCAGGUGUGAAAGUUUGCGGCUCAACCGUCAAAUUGCCGUUGAAACUGGCAGGCUUGAGUACAGUAGAGGUGGGCGGAAUUCGUGGUGUAGCGGUGAAAUGCUUAGAUAUCACGCAGAACUCCGAUUGCGAAGGCAGCUCACUGGACUGCAACUGACACUGAGGCUCGAAAGCGUGGGUAUCAAACAGGAUUAGAUACCCCAGUAGUC